AAAGAGAGAAAGAGAGAAAGAGAAUUGAAUUUCCAGACCCAGUUCGGUAAACAAGAUUCCCUGUUCCCAGAUGACACACCACAAACACCCUUUGACUUCCACUGAACUCCGUCUCCUUGGAAACAUCAUAAUAGGAUUAACAAAAGCCUGGAAGAUUCUUAGAAGAGCUGCUGUUCUCUCCGCAACAGGAUUGUGCUUAAGUAUCCCAUUAAAGAAGAGCACAUUGGGUUGGCCGCAAUGUUAACCUGCGAAGCAUGUAGAAACACAUGAGAAACAGCACCCAGUAUGUACAGUCAAGAGGAAAAGCUGGCCAGAGAAAACCACCCACAUGGAGGUGUUACAGACUCUUGUGUGCUGCCUCCUCACAGGAAGUUGUGGAAAGAUGUGAUGGACACGUAGGGAUGGAUGCUAAAGCUGACAUUUCUGAAAUCCAAAGGGGGAAUAUGUUGGAGCUUGAGUGGGUCUUCUUGGAGUCCCUCAAAUUAGAUUGUGUGAGCUCACUCCACCCACUGAGGAGCAAACCCUCCACACAACACACUCCCUUCCAAACCUUGGAACUCAACCCCCUCCAUGUUCCCCUGCUACCCUGCAAGAUGCCAAAACAGCUUCAAGGAAGUCUGCUGAGAAUUGCUCAUCAUUUUUACACUUGGUUGGAUAAAGCCCAGAGCAGAAAACAAAACAGAGACCCAGAUCCCCUUUUGAAAGCCCCACAGUAACCAGAGAUCAGGUCCAAAGACAGAAUCCAGAGUUUCUGUGCUGCUGUGUGCCCAGGAAGCUUGGGUGAGCUGUUUUCGGCCAUCCCAUCAAGCACAGACUGGAAUUAUAAUGUAGAGUGUUGGCUCCUUUUCCCCCAGGUUGAGCAGCAAAUGUCCUUCCUCUUGCAAAUUAUACCCCAUUCUUCCAAUGCUACCUGCCUGCUUCCUAUUGGUUAGAAGGCAACAGCAUCUUGCACAAUAAAAUUCAAUUUUAGCAAUUUCUCCACUGCCUCCGAGAAAGGGAGGAAAAUUCUCAGUAUGAGGGCAGCUUUUCUUUAUCGGCUUCUGCUUUGGAAGAUGACAACAUCAUCCUUUAGAUUUCUUAAGGAAAUAGAGCAGAGCCAAAGUAGACUGUGGCAUCCAGCUGGGGUUUAAGACCUUGUUCAUAAUGCCUAAAGAACUUCAAAAAGUUACAAGGACAAUACCUACUGUAAUAUGCUCAUUGACAUCCAAAGGAGUCCAAGAAAAGUAGGUCGUGGGUAUAAUGAGAGGCAAAAACACUGAUAAAUGGAGGGGGAGACACAUCGGUGUGUCCCUGGGAGCUGUUGCUUUCUACUUUAAGAAGAAAAUUGGAUGGGAGCAGUGGCUUUCAGAAGACGUCAAAGCUGCCUCAAAACUCUGGCAGGAGCUAACUUUGUUUUCUAAAUUUAAAGACAUUGCAGCUUCUAUAAUUUGUCUCCAAUAAAGCUAUGCCAUUUUUUUUAA
This is a non-coding RNA of Macaca mulatta (Rhesus monkey), 1460 nucleotides long. Lineage: Eukaryota; Metazoa; Chordata; Mammalia; Primates; Cercopithecidae. The record is from RefSeq and is a predicted model, not a curated record.